RNAcentral lists this transfer RNA (85 nucleotides) under Anaerolineales bacterium. Its description in RNAcentral is "tRNA-Leu". It matches the Rfam family "tRNA". Rfam says of the family: Transfer RNA (tRNA) molecules are approximately 80 nucleotides in length. Their secondary structure includes four short double-helical elements and three loops (D, anti-codon, and T loops). Lineage: Bacteria; Bacillati; Chloroflexota; Anaerolineae; Anaerolineales. The record is from RNAcentral.
GCGCCCGUGGCGGAAUUGGCAGACGCGCUAGGUUGAGGGCCUAGUGGCCGUUGAGGCUGUGAUGGUUCAAAUCCAUUCGGGCGCA